GCAUGAAUUUAUUAAGUAUUUAUUUUGCUUAUUCACAUGAGCAGCAAGCACAGAUAGAAGACAGAAACCCCAAGAUGUAAAGAUAGGCCAGAAACAUGGUUGUGUGCUUGGUGGUACUGGGUGUGAUGGAGUGGUUCAAGUCCUCUAGGCUGAGUGGGCAGGAAGGUCACAACCUCAAGUGUGCAGACACUCCCAGGUCCAUGCUAAACUGCUGACUGAAAUGUGUUGUGUUUUCUAGGCAUUCUGCAGAUUUGAUAGAUGAAAGCGUCAUCCUCCUUUGAAGGUCUCUCCAGAUACAUCCAUCUCCUGAAUCAUGAGGACUUUCAUAUGCCAUGAGCCCAGCCUGGGAAUCUCCUGAGUGAAGCUGAGCGAGGAUGCCUAAAAUCUGGUCCUGGCAUCCUUCUUAGCCAUUUGGAAGUUGGUCCAGAGGUUGGACCUGCUGGUCCUUGAGUUGGCUGUUUCUGUAGGUUGUUGUUUGGUACAU
This 484-nucleotide long non-coding RNA is filed under the name Bos taurus (domestic cattle). Its description in RNAcentral is "long non-coding RNA NONBTAT000328". Lineage: Eukaryota; Metazoa; Chordata; Mammalia; Artiodactyla; Bovidae. The record is from RNAcentral.